RNAcentral lists this ribosomal RNA (1522 nucleotides) under metagenome. RNAcentral describes it as "bacterial SSU rRNA". It matches the Rfam family "Bacterial small subunit ribosomal RNA". The record is from RNAcentral.
AGAGUUUGAUCAUGGCUCAGAUUGAACGCUGGCGGCAGGCCUAACACAUGCAAGUCGAACGGUAACAGGAAGAAGCUUGCUUCUUUGCUGACGAGUGGCGGACGGGUGAGUAAUGUCUGGGAAACUGCCUGAUGGAGGGGGAUAACUACUGGAAACGGUAGCUAAUACCGCAUAACGUCGCAAGACCAAAGAGGGGGACCUUCGGGCCUCUUGCCAUCGGAUGUGCCCAGAUGGGAUUAGCUAGUAGGUGGGGUAACGGCUCACCUAGGCGACGAUCCCUAGCUGGUCUGAGAGGAUGACCAGCCACACUGGAACUGAGACACGGUCCAGACUCCUACGGGAGGCAGCAGUGGGGAAUAUUGCACAAUGGGCGCAAGCCUGAUGCAGCCAUGCCGCGUGUAUGAAGAAGGCCUUCGGGUUGUAAAGUACUUUCAGCGGGGAGGAAGGGAGUAAAGUUAAUACCUUUGCUCAUUGACGUUACCCGCAGAAGAAGCACCGGCUAACUCCGUGCCAGCAGUCGCGGUAAUACGGAGGGUGCAAGCGUUAAUCGGAAUUACUGGGCGUAAAGCGCACGCAGGCGGUUUGUUAAGUCAGAUGUGAAAUCCCCGGGCUCAACCUGGGAACUGCAUCUGAUACUGGCAAGCUUGAGUCUCGUAGAGGGGGGUAGAAUUCCAGGUGUAGCGGUGAAAUGCGUAGAGAUCUGGAGGAAUACCGGUGGCGAAGGCGGCCCCCUGGACGAAGACUGACGCUCAGGUGCGAAAGCGUGGGGAGCAAACAGGAUUAGAUACCCUGGUAGUCCACGCCGUAAACGAUGUCGACUUGGAGGUUGUGCCCUUGAGGCGUGGCUUCCGGAGCUAACGCGUUAAGUCGACCGCCUGGGGAGUACGGCCGCAAGGUUAAAACUCAAAUGAAUUGACGGGGGCCCGCACAAGCGGUGGAGCAUGUGGUUUAAUUCGAUGCAACGCGAAGAACCUUACCUGGUUUUGACAUCCACGGAAGUUUUCAGAGAUGAGAAUGUGCCUUCGGGAACCGUGAGACAGGUGCUGCAUGGCUGUCGUCAGCUCGUGUUGUGAAAUGUUGGGUUAAGUCCCGCAACGAGCGCAACCCUUAUCCUUUGUUGCCAGCGGUCCGGCCGGGAACUCAAAGGAGACUGCCAGUGAUAAACUGGAGGAAGGUGGGGAUGACGUCAAGUCAUCAUGGCCCUUACGACCAGGGCUACACACGUGCUACAAUGGCGCAUACAAAGAGAAGCGACCUCGCGAGAGCAAGCGGACCUCAUAAAGUGCGUCGUAGUCCGGAUUGGAGUCUGCAACUCGACUCCAUGAAGUCGGAAUCGCUAGUAAUCGUGGAUCAGAAUGCCACGGUGAAUACGUUCCCGGGCCUUGUACACACCGCCCGUCACACCAUGGGAGUGGGUUGCAAAAGAAGUAGGUAGCUUAACCUUCGGGAGGGCGCUUACCACUUUGUGAUUCAUGACUGGGGUGAAGUCGAAACAAGGUAACCGUAGGGGAACCUGCGGUUG